Episyrphus balteatus (marmalade hoverfly) is the source of this 782-nucleotide long non-coding RNA. RefSeq lists it as uncharacterized. The record is from RefSeq and is a predicted model, not a curated record. NCBI's taxonomy places the organism in Eukaryota, Metazoa, Arthropoda, Insecta, Diptera, Syrphidae. The transcript is spliced from 3 exons.
AUCCGCAUCAAAGCAGAAGAGAGAAUAAAAUAUCUUUCUCUCACUCUUUCUCUAACAAAAGUUCUCUGAAGGGGAGGGUGGGGUUUUUUCCUUUUUCUCAUUUUAGUAUUUAUAUUCUCUCUCUUUUAAUGAAAUUUCAACCGUUUUGCUGUUGAAUAUCUGAUUAAUCUAAUUAAAUUAACCAAAUUAAAGAAAAGAAGAUGAAGUAAACAUAAUCGGAAAAUAACCGCAAUGCGGCAAAGUCAUCGGGUCGAAUCGUGUCAGAAGAGAAACAAAACUACAAAUAUACGACUGGAGUAGAUGUUAGACAAGGACAGUAGUAAUGCAACAACACGACACACUUGAACAGAAAUUGGGGAAAUAUUUGAACCGAUUCGAAGAGAGAUGUGCGAUAAAAAUGUAUGACAACGAAGGGGAAGAAAUUGUCACUAGUUUUUCCAAAGUUUUGAUGUACUCCCGGAUGAGGGAUUUUUUAUUUGGGACACGCACACAAGAAUUUCUUCGAUGAUGAACAAAAAUUCCAUAUUUAGCACAAUUCACAAUGGAGAAUUUCGUUUUUUUUUUUGUUUUCAGAUUUUGAAUAAUCCUGCAACUUUACACCACCAACGCACUUAGAAAAAAAUGUUUGAAAAAUUCAAAAAGAAAAAUAAAUAAAUAAAUAAAAGAUUUCAUUUGAGAUCAUUUAUGAGAUUCUUAAAAUCAGAAAGAGAAAACCAAUUUGACUCUCUUCUCGUUUUUAAGAUAUUUCUGCAGUAGUUUACAUGAACAAUUUUUUUUCAACU